AAAUUCCGCCGGAAAUCUACUUUCCUUUUGAGUUUCCUGAACGUCAUCCUAAAAAAUUAUGGAAAGCAAAAAAUUAAGAGCAACAGAAUAUUAUGUAUACCACCUUGAUGAUCUUAUUGGUAAGGGGGCAACAUGCGAAGUGUAUAAAGGAAUUCAUAAGGGCACGGGAGAAAUUCAUGCCUUGAAGAUAUUUGAGCAUAGGUUACGUGGUGUUGCCCAGAGGGAGAUUGAAGCUUUGAAAUCGCUCAACCAUGACAAUAUUGUGGCUUUUAUGGGACAAGAAACCGAUAGAGAUACUGGCCGGGUUGUGGCUGUUAUGGAGUACUGUGAUAAAAGUCUCUAUAUGUCCCUGUGUGAGCCAGAGAACAGAUACGGGUUGACAGAGGAUGAAUUUAUUCGCUUUUUCAGACAUAUAGUUGAAGGAAUGAAGCAUUUAAGAGAGCAUGGAUUUCUUCACAGAGAUAUUAAGCCAGGAAAUAUUCUUAUUGUACAAGACCAAGAUGGGAGCAAUAUUUACAAGUUAUCAGAUUUUGGAACAGCAAAACCGGUGCUAGAAACAGAAGCAUUUCAGUCCCUUGUUGGAACAGAGGAAUAUCUUCAUCCAAAUAUAUUUCGAGCAGCUUUCAUAGACCAGGGUAUGUCUCGAGAAUUUGACGCUGCGGCUGACUUGUGGAGUCUGGGUGCUACGCUGUAUCAUUCUGUCACAGGCAGGGUUCCUUUCCUACCAUACCAGGGUAGAAACAAUAAAGCACUGAUGUUUCAGAUGAUUGCUCAGAAGGAGUUUGGAGUUAUAGCUGGUGAGCAGAGAACACAAAAUGGUGAUGUCAUAUGGACCAAGGAAUUACCUUCCACUUGUAAAAUGUCACGAUGGUUGAAGGAUGCGCUGACAGAGAUAUUGAAACGUCUACUUGAGGGUGAUCCAAACAAGGCCAUGACCUUUGACACGUUUUUCAUGGCAGCAGAUGACAUACUGAGUCGACAUAUAGUUUAUGUUUUCUCAACAACAUCAGCUAAACAUUUCAGACUUUACCUCCAAAAAGAUUGUGUUUUUUCUGAUGUACAACAAGAGAUAUAUACAGAGACGAACAUUCCACCGAGGGACCAGUUAAUAAAUUAUGAAGAGUGUUUGCUCAGGGAGAUCAUGUCAGAGACGGAUACUGUCAUUUUGUAUCCAAAGUUGAGUUUAGCCACACCUCUAGUUCUGGUAAGAUCAACAGCAGUCGAGCAGUGUAUCAUGCCUGAAGAGAAACAUUUCUGGUACAGUGAAACACUUCCUGUAUGUUCUCCGUCAUUCCCAGAGUCUGUGCGACAUCUCGAUGAGGACUACAGGAUAGCCAAGUCAAUCUGUGAUAGUAUAGCCCUGGUACAGUCAUACAUAGAGUUAGGCUGUCUUACUCAAGACCUCUUUGAGAAAACCAUCAACAGAACAGAACGCUGGAAAGAGGUGAUAGUGAGUAGAUUACAGACGGAAGUAGAUUUAUAUCGUGAUAGAGUGAAGGAUCUACGGCAUAUUCACAAGGCGAUCAUGGAGAACGGGGUUGUACAGUGUGUAACAACAACAGUUGGACUGUCUAUAGAAAAUCUUAAGUCACGGAUAAACAACUGCACAAUCUACAUGGACACCAUUAAGAACAUGAAAACAGACUGUGGGAUCAGAGUGUAUAUGAGUGGAUGUGUGGAUGGAAACAAAUGCCAAAAGAAGAUUUCUAGGUUAUUGGAACAAGCAAAGGAAAAGAGGAACAUCCUGGAAACGAGGAAAAAACAGCGGAGAUCAUUACAGUAUCAUGAAGAACAGUUACAGAGAUUUGACAGGAAACAGCUGACUGACCUGUACAAUACAGCUCUUAGUCUUUGGUCAACACAUUGUCAAGGAAAGUUGAAAGAAGUUCAUAAUCACUUCCUGAAUUGGCACAGCUCAUUUGCACAACUUCAAGCAAAGAUGGAAACAUUACAGAAAGAAAUUAAAACAACCAAAUCCACCAUCAAAAAGUAUAUGAGGAAUUUUAAGGUGAGCUCAGAGCCCACAUCACUGAUGAGUACCAGUUCAAGUAUGACCUGUGAGGCACCAGUCACCAUGGAGACAGAAGCUAAAAGAAGGUACCUAGCAUCUUCAUUGAUAAGUCAAUUGGAUGCAGUGAAGUCAGAACAGGAGGAGAUGAAGAGAAUGGUUAGUGAAAAUGAUGAACUUCAUACAAAGAGUAUGCAGAUGAUGACCCUGGAAGAUUUCUCCGAUUAUCCAACUCUUACAAGUACCGAGUCUGGACAGUCUACAGACUCUAAAUAGCCACUGUGAUUAUGACUUGGUAUGCAGGAAACAAUGUCACCAGUGUAACAGAAUGUUAAAUGUGAAUGUUAGAGAAUGGCAGCAGUGUAGCAUAAUAUUGGAUGAGAAUGUAACAAAAAUUUCAACAGUGUAACAAAAUGUUAGUAAUGAAUGUUAAAGAAUGUCAACAGUGUAACAUAAUAGUUUAGAAUGCAGCUGUAAUGUCAUAUGUGAAAAUGUCAUUUGUGAUAGCAACAAAAAUGUCAGUAGUGUCACAAAAUGUCACUUGUGACCAUUGCAAAAUUUAAACAAUGAUAUAUUCUGAACUUUUGGUACAGUAUAAACUUCAACGUAGAAGUAACAAAAUGUCGGCAGUGUAACAGACCGUAUAUUUGUGAUUGCUACAGAAAACAUGUCAACUCUAACAAAAUGGCUGUAAUAAGUUUUGCAGUGUCAACAUAGUGAAAUGUUGAAUAUGUGUGAACUAUUUGUACAGCUGUGUUGGCUGCAGUAAAAGUGCAGAAAUAUAUAUAGUGUGCCAUAAAAGAAGAAUGUAAUGCAGUUUAAAUACAUGUUGACUGUGGUGUGUGAACAUCUGAAGAAUGAUUUUUUAAAUUGUUCCAAUUGGUUCUUUUACAAGCAUUUACUAUGGUAUUCUACAUGUGUUUUAUAACUACCAGUAUACAAUAGGCUAAGUUUGUUGAGAAUAAAAGAUGCAAGUUGAAGUUGUGUUUUAAGGUACUUCUGCACAUUUGUAUAAAAUAGUUCUACAAUGUAGAAUUUUAUUCAACCCAGAAAUUUUAGGCAUCAUUAUCUACUUAGCGAAUUCUGCCAAUAAAAAUGUGCUUCAGUUUUGCUGGACAGAUUGAAAAGAAAAGUGAACUUCAGCAGCUUUCAUAACAGAAAACUGGGGGGAAAGCAGAAUUUUGCAUACAGAAAAAAAUCCUAAAUUUAGUGCAGAUUUAAAGGCAGUUGUGCAUGAAUGGAUCAAAACAGUAUUUACUACAAAGAAUAUUUUUCAGUAUUUCAGGAUGUUUUAGAAAAAAAUGGCCAGUAGGGAGUUAAAUUUUCAAAUUUGUUGAUAUAAUUUAGUUUACUUUUAUGUCAAAUUUUAUUUGUUGAAGUUACAUACUUCACAGUUUUUUAUUCCCUGCCGAUGAAAUCGGGAGGGGGGUAUUGAAAUGGCGUUGUCCAUCCGUCAGUCCGUCCACAGCCAUUUCUCAGUAACUACUUUGGUAGAAUUUCAUGAAACUUGAAAUAAACAUGAACCAACAUACUGCGAUGAUGCCCAUCAAGUUUUUUUUUUGAUUGGUCAAUUUCCCUCAGAGUUAUUGCCCUUGAUUUAAUAAAAAAUGUCCGUCUGUAGCCAUUUCUCAGUAACUAACAGGUAGAAUUUCAUCAGAUUUGAAAUAGACAUGAACCAAGAUACUGUGCUAAUGCCCGUCAAGUUUUUUCUUUUGAUAGGUCAAUUUCCGUCAGAGUUAUUGCCCUUGAUUUAUUGAAAAAUGUCCGUCUGCAGCCAUUUCUCAGUAACUAGCAGGUAGAAUUUCAUCAAACUUGAAACAGACAUGAUUUAAGAUACUGCGACGAUGCCCUUCAAGUUUUUUUUCGAUUGGUCAAUUUAUCCAUAUAGUUAUUGCCCUUUAAUUGUUUAAAAAUCCACAGAUCUGUACAUAACAAACCAACCAAUUGGAAGAAUUUCAUUAAACUUCUUUCAUUCUUUUCCAUGAACAUUUAUUAUAAACAUGUGAUGUUGUGUACCUACACCUGGUCACCACCUUACCUUGUUCCACCCCCGCCAUUUUUAUGCCCCCGAAGGGAGGCAUAUAGUUUUUGAACCGUCUGUCAGUCUGUCGGUCUGUCAGUCUGUCCGCAAUUUUCGUGUCCGGUCCAUAUCUUUGUCAUCGAUGGAUGGAUUUUCAAAUAACUUGGCAUGAAUGUGUACCACAGUAAGACGACGUGUCGCGCGCAAGACCCAGGUCCGUAGCUCAAAGGUCAAGGUCACACUUAGACAUUAAAGGAGAGUGCAUUGAUGGGCGUGUCCGGUCCAUAUCUUUGUCAUCAAUGGAUGGAUUUUCAAAUAACUUGGCAUGAAUGUGUACCACAGUAAGACGACGUGUCGCGCGCAAGACCCAGGUCCGUAGCUCAAAGGUCAAGGUCACACUUAGACAUUAAAGGAUAGUGCAUUGAUGGGCGUGUCCGGUCCAUAUCUUUGUCAUCGAUGGAUGGAUUUUCAAAUAACUUGGCAUGAAUGUGUACCACAGUAAGAUGACGUGUCGCCUGCAAGACCCAGGUCCGUAGCUCAAAGGUCAAGGUCACACUUAGACGUUAAAGGUCAUUUUUCAUGAUAGUGCAUUGAUGGGUGUGUCUGGUCCAUAUCUUUGUCAUUCAUGCAUGGAUUUUAAAAUAACUACGCAUGAAUGUGUGGCACAGUAAGACGACGUGUCGCGCGCAAGACCCAGCUCCGUAGGUCAAAGGUCCUAAACUCUAACAUCGGCCAUAACUACUCAUUCAAAGUGCCAUCGGGGGCAUAUGUCAUCCUAUGGAGACAGCUGUUGUUUUUUUUAGCUCACCUGUCACAAAGUGACAAGGUGAGCUUUUGUGAUCGCGGGGUGUCCGUCGUCCGUCCGUGCGUCCGUAAACUUUUGCUUGUGACCACUCUAGAGGUCACAUUUUUCAUGGGAUCUUUAUGAAAGUUGGUCAGAAUGUUCAUCUUGAUGAUAUCUAGGUCAAGUUCGAAACUGGGUCACGUGCCAUCAAAAACUAGGUCAGUAGGUCUAAAAAUAGAAAAACCUUGUGACCUCUCUAGAGGCCAUAUAUUUCACAAGAUCUUCAUGAAAAUUGGUCAGAAUGUUCACCUUGAUGAUAUCUAGGUCAAGUUUGAAACUGGGUCACGUGGGGUCAAAAACUAGGUCAGUAGGUCUAAAAAUAGAAAAACCUUGUGACCUCUCUAGAGGCCAUAUUUUUCAUGAGAUCUUCAUGAAUAUUGGUCAGAAUGUUUAUCUUGAUGAUAUCUAGGUCAAGUUCAAAACUGGGUCACGUAGGGUCAAAAACUAGGUCAUUAAGUCUAAAAAUAGAAAAACCUUGUGACCUCUCUAGAGGCCAUAUAUCUCAAUGCAUCUUCAUGAAAAUUGGUCAGAAUGUUCAUCUUGAUGAUAUCUAGGUCAAGUUCGAAACUGGGUCACGUGGGAUUAAAAACUAGGUCAGUAGAUCUAAAAAUAGAAAAACCUUGUGACCUCUCUAGAGGCCAUAUUUUUCAUGAGAUCUUCAUGAAUAUUGGUCAGAAUGUUCACCUUGAUGAUAUCUAGGUCAAGAUCGAAACUGGGUCAUGUGGGGUCAAAAACUAGGUCAGUAGAUCUAAAAAUAGAAAAACGUUGUGACCUCUCUAGUGGCCAUAUUUCUCAAUGGAUCUUCAUGAAAAUUGGUCAGAAUGUUCACCUUGAUGAUAUCUAGGUCGAGUUCGAAACUGGGUCAUGUUGGGUCAAAAACUAGGUCAGUAGGUCUAAAAAUAGGAAAACCUUGUGACCUCUCUAGAGGCGAUUUUUUUCAAUGGAUCUUCAUGAAAAUUGGUCAGAAUGUUCACCUUGAUGAUAUCUAGGUCAAGUUUGAAAGUGGGUCACGUGCCUUCAAAAACUAGGUCAGUAGGUCAAAUAAUAGAAAAACCUUGUGACCUCUCUAGAGGCUAUAUUUUUCAUGGGAUCUGUAUGAAAGUUGGUCUGAAUGUUCAUCUUGAUGAUAUCUAGGUCAAGUUCGAAAGUGGUCACGUGCCUUCAAAAACUAGGUCAGUAGGUCAAAUAAUAGAAAAACCUUGUGACCUCUCUAAAGGCCAUAUUUUAUAUGGGAUCUGUAUGAAAGUUGGUCUGAUAUCUUCACCUUGAUGAUAUCUAGGUCAAGUUCGAAACUGGGUCACGUGCCGUCAAAAACUAGGUCAGUAGGUCUAAAAAUAGAAAAACCUUGUGACCUCUCUAGAGGCCAUAUAUUUCACAAGAUCUUCAUGAAAAUUGGUCAGAAUGUUCAUCUUGAUGAUAUCUAGCUCAAGUUCGAAACAGGGUCAUGUGCGGUCAAAAACUAGGGCAGUUGGUCUAAAAAUAGAAAAACCUUGUGACAUCUCUAGAGGCCAUAUUUGUGAAUGGAUCUUCAUGAAAAUUGGUCAGAAUGUUCAUCUUGAUGAUAUCUAGGUCAAGUUCGAAACUGGGUCACGUGCCUUCAAAAAGUAGGUCAGUAGGUCAAAUAAUGAAAAAACGUUGUGACCUCUCUAGAGGCCAUAUUUUUCGUGGGAUCUGUAUGAAAGUUGGUCUGAAUGUUUAUCAACUGGGUCAUGUGGGAAGAGGUGAGCGAUUCAGGACCAUCAUGGUCCUCUUGUUUAAUUUUUCAUUUUCUAUCAAUAUUUAUAAUCAACAUGUAAACUGUUGUAUCCUCACCCCACCCCACCCAGCCCCACUCAAACUAACCAUUCAUUUUCUUUUAAUUUGAUUUUGACUAAUGAAAUUAUUUGCUUCUUGGUAACAUUCUUAACUUUUUGCUGGAUAUAUUUUUUUGCCGUUCCUCAACUCUGACCCUUUCGGCGGGGGAUUCCAAUUCAUCGAAUUUGCUUGUUUUUCCAUUAUCAGAGAUCCAUAGAAAAUAAGAUUCUUCAUAAUAGUGGAUAGAGUUGAUUACCAACUUAGACUUAGGCAGCCAUAUGGUGACUUUCCAGCUGUGAAGCUGUUAAUAAUAUUCGUGCUUUGUCAGAAGAAAAUGUAUACCUAACAUCUAUGUAGUAAAGAUCCCACUUAAUUUGCGCUAAUUAGUGUUAAUUGGCAUUCAUCUAGUUUCUGAUAUUAUCAACGCCUGGGUAAAUCAGAAGGAGUUUCCAUGUAACUACUGGUUAUCGAUUUUCAAUAAAAAGCCUAAUUAACAUGUGAUCAUAUUUGCACUUGUUUAAAGCGAAAUAUCGGCAGUUUUUGUAGAUCACUAGGUCUGCACAGUCACUAAUAUAAUAUCUUACAAUUUGAUAGCUAUGACGCACAUUUAAGUUAAUUCUGACAUAUUUAAAAACUGUUCCACAACUUGCUGGAAAAGCUGUAGGAGGUACAAAGUGGUAUUUAUCUUUGGCCCAGAAAUGUUCGGAAACCUUCGAAAGUUUAUGAUUCCGGUUUGUCUUUUCCGUGAGAAUUCCGUUUCUAUUUUAGCCAUGGAGUAUUGCUUUCAACUGUUAUUGUUCUUUAUCAUACACCCGUAUAUUUCGGUUUCCCCAGGCUGUCAAUUUGCAGGUAGUAAAAAAAGUAAGAAAUUGUCAGACUGGAUUCCCAGGCUAGGAUCCCAGGUGCUCUUCCAGACAUUAUUACAGGUAUGGCUGGGCACCUGGGUAGAAGUUUGGACCUUCUGUAUGUUAGCAGCAUUGUUUAAACUCUUGAUGAAAUUGAAAUCUGACUUUGCAUAGUAAUUUUAGCCUCAGAGUUCAGCUAUAUAUUUGUAGUUUUUCUGGAGUUUAUAAUUUUAUGAAGAUUUUAUACUUUGUGUAGUCAAGAAUUUUAUAAUUAUCAAAAAUAAAUCAUGAGAUAACAAAUUUAUUGAUGCUGAAUCCUACAAUCAUGUUUUCUUGUAAUCAGAAUUUAUUUUACAGUUUUAUGUUGUGUCGUUACAUAACUUAAAAUUUCAUUUUAAAUCAAGAUGAAAUAAAUACUGAUUUGGUUGAUUAAGAGUUAAAUGUUAUAUUUUAUAUUCAUAUAAAACAUAAAUAUUUUGUACACAUAGAGAGUAAUGUGUAGUGUCUGUCCUACCCUUUAUAAUGAUUUUUGCACUGUUAACUUAAAACAGCAUGACUUACCUUAAGUUUGUGUCAGUAUGUCUGUCUGUCUGGCUGGCUGGCUAUCUUCAGGGUCGAAAGAUACCAAUCAAGGUAACAAAAUAUGAAUUUCUAACCCUACCAUUCACUCUUAAGAAAUUGAUGACCAUGUCUUGAACUUUGACCAAAUUUAAAUGAUAAUAAACAGUUUGAAUUUUGGUACACUUCACCUUGUUUAUCAUACUUUUAUUUGUACUUUUAAGAUCUUUUCCCAAAAUAGUUUUUGGUGUAUUAAAUUAUUAUGUCUCCCACCACACAGUUGUGUGGGAGACAUAUUGAUUUGCUCCAGUCUGUGUGUCUGUCUGUCUGUGUGUCUGUCUGUCACAAAGCUUGUCCGCACUCUAAGUCGAACAUUUCUCAUCUGAUCUUCACCAAACUUCAACAAAAUGUGUCUGCCAAUAAGUGCUCGGCCAAGUACAAUAACUAGCCAAAUUGGCCUAGGCACUUUGGAAUUAUGGCCCUUGAUUUACCAAAAACACUCGGAUUUCUUUUGCAGUUUUACCCCUAAACCGGUGCCUAUACUACUAGAAGUAUAGGUGUCCUUUUGGUGUCAGGAAAGUGCAUGCACAUGUGGAUUAAGUAAACAGUAAAUAAAGACUGACUUACUAUUUAGAUGAUUAGGCAGUUGUGGGAGCCAUGCGCUUUUCUCAAAAGCAUCUCUAGUUUUUUUUUGUUUUCUAAGAAGCUUCAACUUUGUAAAUUUUAAUGUUUUGUUCUUUGAAAUUUCUGCUCAAAUAAUUUUUACUUAGUGCUUGUAAUUAAAUGUUUUAUUAUCUAGUAUGUGAAUGAUACGUUAUUAUUUUGAACAUGCUGUAUUUUUAGAUAUUUCCAGAAAUUGAUACUGAUUAGGUCAGUGUUUACAGUCUGGAUACUGAUACAUUUCAGAAUAAAAGACUAGAGAUAAAACAAUGUAAUUUAUGUUAAGCUGUUUUGAAGACAAGCAAUUUAGCAUGUAUCAAUUAUUUUAUACAAUGAGUGAUAUGGAAAAUCGGUAUUACAUUUUAAAGGUGGUCUCAUUUAAGCAACAUAUUUUUUGACAUUUUUCACUUGUUGUAUAUUCUGUUAGAGAUUUGUUUAAGGGACAAAAAGGUCCAUGAUUAUUGUUAGAAUGUAUUUAAUAAAAGUGUUUAAUUACCACCUUUUGAUAUGAAAAUAUUCAAAUA
Mercenaria mercenaria is the source of this 9253-nucleotide RNA transcript. It is a transcript of the gene named serine/threonine-protein kinase TBK1-like, with no coding region annotated. The transcript is spliced from 19 exons. NCBI's taxonomy places the organism in Eukaryota, Metazoa, Mollusca, Bivalvia, Venerida, Veneridae. The record is from RefSeq and is a predicted model, not a curated record.